Molecule: long non-coding RNA, 2172 nt
Organism: Vespa mandarinia (Asian giant hornet)
Lineage: Eukaryota; Metazoa; Arthropoda; Insecta; Hymenoptera; Vespidae
Source: RefSeq, a predicted model, not a curated record
GAGCAGGAUAGAAAUAUUUGUAAACGUUCCUCUGAAUAUUAUAUUAUAAAAAUAUUAGAUCAAGAGGAAUUUAUAUGUAUGGUAAUUUGGUAUCGAUAUUGUUCUACGUUAUUUUUCAGUAUUUUUUUUUUCUUUUUAUAUCUUUUUUUCAUUCAUCAUCGACCACAAGUUAUCAUAUAUAAAGACGAAGGCGACGACGACGUUAAUGGGAAUCACGAUUUCCAUUAAUGACAGAACCAGUAGGAGCAAAUUCGUAGCACGACGUCGUUUUCCUUCUCUUCGUCUCUUUGCGGAGAAAUUUUCGGAAGGGGUUAGGGUAAGAAGGAUAAGGGUAAAGGUAGAGAGAUGUAAGGGUAGGUAGGAUGAUAAGGGAAGAGGAAGAGGAAAGUAAUCGAAGCUCACCAAGAGUAGAAAGGACGAACGAUUCUCGCAAUUCCAUGUGUGUAACAUUACUUUCACGAAAAAUAUAAAAACGAAGUCGACGAAGCACUUUUUAAAAUAGUUACAUACGUCGAUCGACUCGUGAUAUCGAAAUUAUUUGCCGAUCUUGAUAGAAUUUUGAUUAAUACAUUUAUGCGAAUUCGAAUUCAGUAUAUAUACUCGUUUACGAUCGAUCUAACUGGAACUUUCGAUUUGUUUGUAAUUAAAAUCGAGCGAGAGAACCUUCUCAUUGAGAGAUUCACGAUGUGUACGUCAUUGUUUUUCAUCGCGACAAUUUCUACAAAAAUUUCUGCUUUUCUUCUCUCAUUCAAUGCCGAUUACGUCUUCCUUAUUUUAUUUCUUUUUUCUCUCUCUUCGUUCGUUUACCAAAAGAAUAUCGCAUCGGUUCUCUCGUUUUUGUUAAGUUAUUUCGAGCCUAGUAUAUUAUUCCUUCACCAAAAUAAAAUAAUAAAGGAAAUUCAACGAACGAUCCUAUGUCUUUUAAUUAAUUAUCUUUUCAUGAUAUCUCCUAAAUGGAUUUAAUUAAAUAAAUUUCACCAUCAUCGUCGUCAUCAUCAUUUUCUUCUUCUUCUUAAUACUUCAUAAUAAAAUUUAAUUGUUGAUUAAUUCGUUUGUUUGGAUCAUAUAAAAAAAAAAAUCCAAAGAAAAAGGAAAGAGACAAAGGAAAAAGACAAAAGUGUUCGGUUUAUGUAAUCAAUGUUCGACGAUUAUCGCUUUCGAUAUCUUCCGAAGCAUAACAUAACUCGAUUUUAACGAUCGACUCUUUCACGUUCAGAAUUUCGACCAAUCGCGUUUCAUUCGAGCGUCGCGCAAUUCUACUAACGGGGAACAUCGGGGCAUGUGUAAAACGUCUCGUAGAGAGUGACAGAAAAUGAGAGAGAGAGAGAACUUAGUAAGACCUUUAAAACGAAAACUUUCCAACGUGUUCGACGCUCCUUUCUCGUGACUCCUUACAACGACCUCUUACCUCUUUGGAUUCGUGUUUCCGAAGGUGGCACUCAAGAAGAGAUAAUCUGGGAUUUCGGAAAGGGGUUUGCCUGCCUGCCUGCCUUUCCUUUCCUUUCCUUUCCUUUCCUUUCCAACUUAACGUAAAUCUUCGACAAGUGAAAAUCGUUACGAGAUCUUAGUUGCAUCAUGAUCGGUUUUAUAUCAUGGUAUCUAUAUCUAUGAUCUAAUCAUUUUAUCUCUAAAGUGAUUCGAGUGAAAGAAUGAUAUUCAAUUUAAUUUUUUUUUCAACGAAUUUUUCAUAGAAAUACUUGAUAAUUUUUCUAAGCAAUUUCUAAUACGAUUGAGACCUAUUAUUCGUCUUUAAAGAAAACUAUUAUUAAUAAUAUAGGAUGACAAAUUCCCAGAAUUGCCAAGAGAUUUCAAGACGAAAUAAACGAAAAGGAAGGAAAUACUAUAAUAAAGAACGAACGAGUAAUGCACGAGUGAUCGGAAAAGUAUCAUGGACAAAGACAAUCAAAUAUUAUUACGACAGAUUCAGAUAUUAUUAUUUUUAUGUCGCAGAAAAAGUCGAUACUUUCAUUGCUGCUAUUUGCUUGUGGAUCAUCAAAUUAUAUUUCUCUUUAAUGGGAUAUGGACUGAUCGUUAACAAAGUCGAUACAAUGAUCGACGAGUAAUCAUCACUAUCAAAUAAAUUGUCUUAAUAAAUUGUCUUAAUAAAUUUUCUUAUUGUCAAUGCAUAUUUAUAUAACCUAUUACUUUUCAUUAAAAGGAAAUCUAAUGUAA